This 244-nucleotide ribosomal RNA is filed under the name Stenotrophomonas sp. Its description in RNAcentral is "partial 16S ribosomal RNA". It matches the Rfam family "Bacterial small subunit ribosomal RNA", at positions 60 to 295 of the family's 1533-position model. The record is from RNAcentral. Lineage: Bacteria; Pseudomonadati; Pseudomonadota; Gammaproteobacteria; Lysobacterales; Lysobacteraceae.
UGCAGUCGAACGGCAGCACAGUAAGAGCUUGCUCUUAUGGGUGGCGAGUGGCGGACGGGUGAGGAAUACAUCGGAAUCUACCUUUUCGUGGGGGAUAACGUAGGGAAACUUACGCUAAUACCGCAUACGACCUUCGGGUGAAAGCAGGGGACCUUCGGGCCUUGCGCGGAUAGAUGAGCCGAUGUCGGAUUAGCUAGUUGGCGGGGUAAAGGCCCACCAAGGCGACGAUCCGUAGCUGGUCUGA